CCGUGAUGAACUAACCGUCUGUCGCUGGGAAGAAGCUUAACUUGGGGGAAACUGCCACGAAAAUAAAACUUUAAACAUAAAUAAUCUCAUAUGUUGCCUUUCUUUCCUAAAAAAAAAGAAAGUCUAUAUUUUAUAUGUAUUUGCUUUUUGCAUUUUUAUAAUAAAAAUUGAAUAUUUAAUUUUAGAGUAGUUUUUAAGUCACAUAUUCUUUUUUUGCUCGGCGCCACAAAAAUAAAGUGUCCCUGUCCUUGCACACCUUUGGGAAGGGUAAGGGUCAGGCACGGAUCGCCGCGACCUAAGGACCUUGUCCUUUUGAGUAGCGGUAGCGGGCGGAGCGUCCCUGUCCUUUGGGAGAGGGAAGGGAAGAGGAAUAACUUACUAGAUAAAAACAUUUAUGUUAAGCUAUUUAGUAUCUGUUAACCCAUUUAAGUAACAUCUCAAAAGUCAUAGCAAGGUAGAUUGUACUGGAA
This 470-nucleotide ribosomal RNA is filed under the name Pleurotus rattenburyi. Its description in RNAcentral is "partial small subunit ribosomal RNA". The record is from RNAcentral. Lineage: Eukaryota; Fungi; Basidiomycota; Agaricomycetes; Agaricales; Pleurotaceae.